Molecule: small RNA, 28 nt
Filed under: Bombyx mori (domestic silkworm)
Lineage: Eukaryota; Metazoa; Arthropoda; Insecta; Lepidoptera; Bombycidae
Description: ovarian small RNA-28042
Source: RNAcentral
UCCUUGAGAAUCUCCGGUUUGGAGGCGA